RNAcentral lists this microRNA (24 nucleotides) under Gallus gallus (chicken). RNAcentral's name for it is "gga-miR-12235-5p". Lineage: Eukaryota; Metazoa; Chordata; Aves; Galliformes; Phasianidae. The record is from miRBase by way of RNAcentral.
UGUGUGUGAGCGGGGGGGGGCCGG